Molecule: transfer RNA, 76 nt
Filed under: Vibrio cholerae
Lineage: Bacteria; Pseudomonadati; Pseudomonadota; Gammaproteobacteria; Vibrionales; Vibrionaceae
Also listed under: 19 other names
Description: tRNA-Thr
Rfam family: tRNA
About the family: Transfer RNA (tRNA) molecules are approximately 80 nucleotides in length.
Source: RNAcentral
GCUGAUAUAGCUCAGGCGGUAGAGCGCAUCCUUGGUAAGGAUGAGGUCGGCAGUUCGAAUCUGCCUAUCAGCACCA